Molecule: long non-coding RNA, 1133 nt
Filed under: Gallus gallus (chicken)
Lineage: Eukaryota; Metazoa; Chordata; Aves; Galliformes; Phasianidae
Source: RNAcentral
GGGGGGGGGGGGGGGGAGGGAAAUGUCACCCGGCGGGCGCGGUGCUGAGGGACGGAGCGAGGGGACGGAGGGACAGGGAGCGCCGCCGGCUGUCAAGCAGAGCAGUUGCCAAGUGAUCUUCUCCACAGCACCCACGAACUUUGGCCUUACACUGAAGAGGACUCGUCAAAUGCUUUGGGAGAUACAACACGGAAUUGGAAGAGAAGCAUGGAUCUACCUGAAGGGCAGUUCGCUGCAUUCUUGGUGUGUGGAGGAACGGGUCCCGUGCUCACUGUUGUUACUCCCACAUAGGCGGACUCUGUAACUGAUUAUAUGUGGGUAGGGCCCUAUUGAAAUUAAGGAGAUUCUGCAGUAGUGCGGGGUUCUGUUUGUGUGACCCUACUGUGCCUUCUUACUGUGAAUUCUGUCAGUGUAUCAUGGGUUGUGCUGGAACCUGCCUUUUGGGAUAAUUACCAAAUAAUAUAUUCCUCAAAACUUCUUAAUGGCACUGAGGCUUUGUGGAUAGUUGGUCACAUGAUGAGAAAAUUCAGCUCACUGUCCUAACUCCCCAUCUGGAUGACUGCUGACCAUUCCCUCUGAUGCUGACAUCAGUAUUUUCUGUGAGAGAGAGUACUGUAGUGAAGAGACAGAAAAAGAAGAAGAUGGCACUAUUGUGAUUUUGUUGUUGUAUGGCUUUGAAUCACCUACAAGUAUUGCUGCGACCGCAAAUUAAGUGUGCUGGUUUCCCAAUGAACUUGUAAUUUCAAGAUGUUUGUAGAAAUGUAAAAUCAAACGUGAACCGCAUUAAAGUCAUUUAAAUUUAACAAAAUAUAGCACUAGUCUUCUUUUAUUUUUAAUAUGGAGACCUACGUGGCUCACUUGCAGAAAGUGGGUUAUAUUUUAAAAGCUGUGGACUGGCAAGUUCUGACUUACUAAAGCAUAAAAUCAUUGUCCUCCUCCCUGUGGCAGUAGUUUCUUUAUUCAGACCCACUGCUUAAAGAUCUCUCCUGUUGUUUCCUUCUCUAUCUUCUCCUUUUUUACUUCCUUUUACUAGCUUGAGUUUCCUGUUCCUUUUUGCACCGAACUUUCCUAAGUCUCUUGGUCCAAAACCAGUCCCUUUUUCUCUCACGUAUACGUCCAUCAGCCUAAACUAC